AUUGAACGCUGGCGGCAGGCCUAACACAUGCAAGUCGAGCGGACCGGCGGACGGGUGCGUAAUGCCUAGGAAUCUGCCCGGUAGUGGGGGAUAACGUACGGAAACGGGCGCUAAUACUGCAUCCUCUCAGAUGAGGCUAGGGCGGAUUAGCUAGUUGGUGGGGUAAAGGCCUACCAAGGCAACGACCCGUAGCUGGUCUGAGAGGAUGAUCAGUCACACUGGAACUGAGACACGGUCCAGACUCCUACGGGAGGCAGCAGUGGGGAAUAUUGGACAAUGGGCGAAAGCCUGAUCCAGCCAUGCCGCGUGUAUGAAGAAGGUCUUCGGAUUGUAAAGCACUUUAAGUUGGGAGGCGUUACCAGCAGAAUAAGCACCGGCUAACUUCGUGCCAGCAGCCGCGGUAAUUC
This 407-nucleotide ribosomal RNA is filed under the name uncultured bacterium. RNAcentral's name for it is "partial 16S ribosomal RNA". It matches the Rfam family "Bacterial small subunit ribosomal RNA", at positions 30 to 526 of the family's 1533-position model. The record is from RNAcentral.